UCAAAACUGAGUAGAUCCAAAAUGCUUCACUUAAUCACUUUGUCAAAUGAUUUAAAUUUCUUGGAUUUAAUAUUUCAAAAUUUGGUACAGAUACAUUCUUGUCUGGUAACAAUAAUAGACUCAGCUGGCUCUUUUCUUUUCCCUCCUUUAAAAAAUGUUAAAUUGUCUUCCUCCACACAUGAAUCAAUGUGUGUUUUGAAAUAAGUCAAAAUACAAAAUAUCACAUCAGAUUUUUGAAAGGUUUAAAAAUAGGUUACACAUUUAAAUGAAACACGAAGUUGGUAUGAAUGUAUUUGUUCAACUAACAGACAAUGAAAACAAACAGAAAUCAGGGCAUGAAAUUUAAACAUUUUUAUUGAUGUUAAUUUGAAGUGCUGAAUUAGUUAUGUUGUCAGUUCAAUUCAGUUCACUUCAAUCUGUAAGGGAAAUGAAAUGAAAUGAUGGUCUUUUCACACUGUAAGGUUUCCUUACAGUAAUGCAUUGUAAGGUAACCUUACAAUGCAUUACUGUAAGGUUUGGUACCUUACAGUGUUAAAAAACCCAACAGACACACCCCUCUGAGCAAGCACUUGGCGACAGUGGGGAGGAAAAACUUUCUUUUAAGAGAAAGAAACCUCCGACAGAACCGGGCUCAGUGAGGGGACGGCCAUCUGUCGCGACCGGUCAGCUGAUUUUCAUAAAUGACUCGAUGGAUUAAAGAGCCAUUGUGAUUUUAAAAAUGGCUCCAAUUAGUUUUUAAGAAAUGUUUUUCAGUUGAUUCCCCUACCUUACAGAAACCUUAUUUUGUCUUCUGCUCCAACAAAAACAAAUUGCGUGCAGACGAGAAAAACCGGCGCAUCCAACCCGGUUUUUUAGAUAAUUUUGCUACGUGGUUUUUGAACACUUCCACGAUUGUUUCCUCAACUAUUGGCUUUUGUAACUGCAUAACCGUGAGAAUGAACUCUGGCCACUCUUUGCAAAGAGAUUUGUAAACCAACUUGCUGAGGUUUUUAAAGUUCUCCAAUGGGACUUUAACAUAUUCUUCUUUGAUUUCUGCCCAGACUACAGUGGUAAACCGGUUUUGGAUGGCUUCAAGCCUGUCUAAGGGGAUGCAAACGCCUUCCUUCCCAAGAACACGCCUAACCACGUCCUCAAUACAGAUUUCCACAGAAAGCCUGUAUUCUUCUUCUUUUUCACGUGAUUGAACUUGACACGUGUCUGUUAAUGCCAAUAGACGUUGUUUGAAUACUAAAAAAACUGUGGUGUCAAUCAGUGUUUCGUCUAAAGCUGUUACUUUUUCAUUUAGAUCACUGAAAAUGUCCUUGGCAACCUUUUCCAGCACUUCUGGGCCUAAAGGCACUUUAAUGUUCUGGAUUUCAGCCCAGACCUUCUCCAACAAACGUUCAUGCAGAGAGUCAGAAGAGGGGGACAAUGAUAUUUUAGUCAACUGUGAAAGCACAGUUUGAAUCAGUGUGCUCAGCCAUAUUUUAUCCUCAGAGUUGUUUUCAGCCGGCACGCUGCUUUCAUGUUUAAC
This is a long non-coding RNA of Oreochromis aureus, 1513 nucleotides long. NCBI's taxonomy places the organism in Eukaryota, Metazoa, Chordata, Actinopteri, Cichliformes, Cichlidae. The record is from Ensembl.